UAUCUCUGUAGAGUCUGCAUAUCAAUAAGCGGAGGAAAAGAAACUAACUAGGAUUCCCUCAGUAACGGCGAGUGAAGCGGGAAGAGCUCAAAUUUGAAAUCUUCAAGGUACUACCUUGACGAAUUGUAGUUUAAAGAAGUGUUUUCUGUUGGAGUUUUGGUAAAAGUUCUUUGGAAUAGGACAUCAUAGAGGGUGAGAAUCCCGUAUUUGACCAUUAUUUCCAGCUUUGUGAUACACUUUCAAAGAGUCGGAUUGUUUGGGAAUGCAGUCCAAAAUGGGUGGUAAAUUUCAUCUAAAGCUAAAUAUUGGCGAGAGACCGAUAGCGAACAAGUACCGUGAGAGAAAGAUGAAAAGAACUUUGAAAAGAGAGUUAAACAGUACGUGAAAUUGUCAAAAGGGAAGCGUUUGACACCAGUGUUGUUUUCUCGAAAAUCAAUUAAAAAAGGCAGGAUUUUGUGUUGUAUUGACUUUAUCAGCUUUCUGCACUCUUUUCUUGUCUUUUUUAAUGCACUUUUCGUUUAACAAGUCAACAUCAAUUUCUUUUGUUGUAAAAGGGUCAUUGGAAGGUGGCUUUCUUUUCGGAGAAAGUGUUUAUAGCCUUUGGCCUCUGCAAUCGGAGAGAUUGAGGUCUGCAGCGUAGAUCCUUCGGGGUUAGAUACAGUUAGAUGCUAAGUUAUAGCCUUUUCAUAGACAACUUGUUGACUAUAAUCAUCAUGUAGCUUACUCGCUUAUGGCUAUUUUACCUACGCUUAGGAUGUUGAUAGUCACAGCGUGUAC
Molecule: ribosomal RNA, 777 nt
Filed under: uncultured Neocallimastigales
Lineage: Eukaryota; Fungi; Neocallimastigomycota; Neocallimastigomycetes; Neocallimastigales
Description: partial large subunit ribosomal RNA
Rfam family: Eukaryotic large subunit ribosomal RNA
Source: RNAcentral